RNAcentral lists this ribosomal RNA (486 nucleotides) under Aurantiochytrium limacinum. RNAcentral describes it as "partial Bacterial large subunit ribosomal RNA". It matches the Rfam family "Bacterial large subunit ribosomal RNA", at positions 1373 to 1842 of the family's 2925-position model. Lineage: Eukaryota; Bigyra; Thraustochytrida; Thraustochytriidae. The record is from RNAcentral.
GGCUGGGUGAGUCGACCCCUAAGGCGAGGCCGAGAGGCGUAGUCGAUGGGAAAUUGGUUAAUAUUCCAAUACUUCUGUGUAAUGCGAUGAGAGGACGGAGAAGGUUAAGUCAGCCUGGCGUUGGUUGUCCAGGUGGAAGGUUGUAGGCAUGUAUCUUAGGCAAAUCCGGGGUACUCUAUGCUGAGAACUGAUAGCAAGCUGUACUUGUACAGUGAAGUGGCUGAUACCAUGCUUCCAGGAAAAGUCUCUAAGCUUCAGUUACACAGGAAUCGUACCCGAAACCGACACAGGUGGUCAGGUAGAGAAUACCAAGGCGCUUGAGAGAACUCUGCUGAAGGAACUAGGCAAAAUGGUACCGUAACUUCGGGAGAAGGUACGCUGCCGAUGGUGAGUAGUCACGCACUACAAAGCUAUUGGCAGUCGCAGAUACCAGGCCGCUGCAACUGUUUAUUAAAAACACAGCACUCUGCAAACACGAAAGUGGAC